GACCUAAGAGAUAGAAAAUAGAGAAUUUCUGAAACAGCUAAUAUUUUACCGUUCCAUCAAAAUUUCAGUGAUCUUUUACUUCUGAAAAAAUAAAGUUCCUAUCCUGAUAUCCACCAUGUAUUGAGGUCUGGUUGUUAAAGGUUCUGAGUCAAACUGGUUGAGUAUUGAUCUUCCGUUGGUUUUCUGAGUGGAUUUCUGGGUUUAAUUGUUGAAUCUGGUUGGUUUUUGCUGCUGAUUGCAUGAUGAUAUUACUGCUGUCUCCUCAUUUUCUGGUUUUAUUUUCUUCCAGGUAAAAAGAAGGUUUGACAGUAUCGAACGUAGUUCCUGAACUCAAGGAAUGGGUCGAGGGCCUUGUGUCACAAAGACCAUAUUCCGAGCGUGCUUGGAUGGAGUUAUCAAAGCAUCGAUAGGAGGCCCGUAAUCAUGUUCUCCCCAAAGACAAUGCUAUGAGGCCUCCAUCUGGUAAUGAGGAUGUGCCUCUCGAGCCCCUUGCUCCGAAGCAGGGUGACGAUAAGAAGAGAAAAAGGGUCUCGAGUUCCUUGAACUCAGAAAAGAAAAAGCCGAAGAGGAGGUCUUGCAAGCCCAAGGGGAGCUCCGACGCUUUAUCCUCGAACUUAGUCCAUCGACUAAGGGAUGAGUCCGAAGAAGAAGAAGAAGAGAAAGAUAAAUCCAAACUGGUGAUCCGCGUGCGGGCUGGUGUCACGAUACAAAAGGCUCUCGAACAGGCGGGUGCUGAAGUUGAAUCAUCUUAACAUGAGGAGGUCAGUGAGAGAGCUCUGGCUGAAGCUCCCAAACCAGAAGGGGGUGAGGCUGUUUCACCCCAAGCUAGGGGUGUCGAGAUGGAGACCAGAGCUGACACUCCUCGAGCAGAGGAAAGUGCCCUAAAAGACGUGCUCGGGGCAAUUGACAUUACCGAGUCUCCUUAGUUCUCAGAUGCCAUGAUCUAUGAGGCCAGUAUGUUAGAAGAUUGUCCUUACGAGGGGCUUUAAGAGGCGACAUAUAUCCACACCUUCUUGGAUAGGUUUGAGUCUAUUGCAUUCGAGGGUGUCACUUGGCUCGGAGACUUGCUGGUGCCAAAGAAGGUACCAUCGCCGGGAGCCAGUGGGUCUUCCUCGAGCCCAAAAUUGGUAAACCGGUUCCCAGCCCCGAGUGUCUAUACUGACCGAAGACGGUCAAUAACUUUCUCUAUCCCAUAAGAUGUUCGAGUUUUCUCUACCCCCGUAGGGUCGCUAGCUAUCUUUGGUGCUUGGUGACCGAAGAAGAUCAGGCAGUGAUGGACAAGGUGGAAACCCCCUAUCUAUUUAAUGAAGCCCAACAAGCAUUAAAUCGGGCUUCAGUGCUGCAUCAUGAAACUUUCUACCGAUACCGAGAGGAAUUAACCCACCACGAGGCUGAAGUUUGGUAUCUCACUAAGAAGAGGGACACCUACGAGCUUCUAGGUGAGAAGCUUCAGGUCGAGUUAGAAAUGGCUCGAAAUGAGCAUGCUGAGAUGCCCAAGCAGGUCCAGCAAAGGCUUGAACAGAUCGGGGAGCUUUAGGAAUAGGUAGAUAUGAUUCAAGCCGAGGCUGAGGAGUUCAAGAAAAAUAUAGACAUCUUAGCCUCGAAAAGGGAAGCGCCCAAGCACAAUUGGAGUCGGACGAGACCCAACUGCUAACUGCAAAAGAGAAAGCCUCGGUGUAGGUCAAGAAAAUCAAGUGGCUUCAAUCCCAAUUGGACUUGGCUAGUUCUAAUAAGGCAAACUUAGCCAAUGAACUCGAGGCAGCCAAAUCUGAGGUGGCCGUGGCCAAUAGCAAAGCUGAUUCUAAAGUGGCCCAAUUCAAGGUCGACGUCGAGGCCAUCCAGGCGCAGGCCAAGAGUAUGGUGGAUCAUGCAUGGUGGCAAGCUCUAAGGGAAGCCCUCGAGGGAGUCCAUGCUCAGGACUUCGAUAUACUAACUGAAAUCAAGAACACCAAAAAAGAAGAAGAUAGGGCCCGAAAGCUGGCCUUUCCCGAGGAAGAUUCUGAGAGUUUAAGCGAGUCUGAAGGUGGGGAAGAUCCCUACGGCGGAGAUGCUACCUCCGAUGAAGACCGGGCCACUUAUGCCUUUAUAUUUUUUGCUUUCUUUUGCAUCUUUUUAGGCUGUUUCGGCCAUUGUAAAUAUUUGAAUUAAGGCAUUCUGGCCUUUGUAAAAAGAUUAUUGGAUAAAUAUAUACAAGGCUUUCUUUUCCCUUUUGGCUUUGAAAUUUUUUAUUUGCUUUAUUACUUGUAUUCACAAAGGUCGGAAUGACUUAGCAUAAAAUAACUUAGGUUGUGUAAGUUCGAACAAACCCUGCCUUUACAUUAUUUUGUGUUGAGGCGUCUUGGGGGUUCGGUGUUACCGAAAACUUUCUCCCGAAGUAAGUAACUCAGGUUAUAGUUUGCCGAGGGUAGCCUUUAGAACUGGUUUUUGAAUAUUUUAAGGCCUAUUUUUUUUACGAUUCUCGGAUGUCUCCGAGCUUUGUUGAUAUGGCUGUAACCUAGUGAGCUUGCUUUCCCGAGUUAUCCAGUCUUCCCUAAGAUAACAAUCCCUGAAUAGGUAUGGCCGUGGUCUUUAAAAUUCGGGGGUUGCCUAAUAGGUCUUGUGUACCCCAUGUUUAAUAGCUCGAUCUGUUCAAGUUUGUUUUCGGACGAUAGUCUUCGAGUGAGGGAGCGACCAUCCGAAUUCUAUUUAUAAUUGGCCCUUGAGCUCGUUUCUUUUAGGAGAUCGAAAGUAUGAAAUUCUUUAAGGUAAGUAAAGAGGAAAUUUUUAAACAUAAGAUGACUGUAAGGAAAGUACUUCUCUUUAUUCUUGUGCUAAAUAGUUAUACAUACGUACAUGUUUUAUGCCAGGGUUCGAUCAAUCUACGUGGGCACGAUCCGUUUGACUAUUUGGACCUUACAAUAAAUUCUACCUAUUAAGACCCUUCCAUUACGAGAUAAUUUCCUCACAAAAGUCGAUAUCUAAGGGUAACGCCCCCCAGUAUUUGAGGUUGAUUGUAGAGGAACCUCAGAUACUGUUAAUGAUGUCUUCGACAUCGAUUCAUGAUCGGCCUUUGAUUCUAAGUUAGCAUGAUCACUGUUGCCUCAUUAAAAACCUUACUGAAAAACCCAAUUUGGAUCAAAACGGUUCAAGGGAAAAAGAGUGCAACGCGUGCUUUCAGAUCUAAAGACUUCGUGGCGCUCUUUUUCGACCACCUACAAGUGUUAGUCCGAAAAUAAAAAGAAAUGAAAUGGGGUCAUACCUUAGUAUAUCAUUUUAGGUGAGUUACGUUCCAAUUGUUAGGUAGUUGUUCUUCACUUGUCAUUCCGAGCUUAUAGAAUCCUUUCCCUUUGACCUCGAGAAUCUAGUAUGGUCCUUCAUAGUUCGGACCUAAUUUCCCUUCGUUCGGAUUUCGGGUGCUUAGUGUGACCUUCCUUAGAACUAAGUCCCCGAUAUUGAAGUAUCAAAGGUUGGCCCUUCGAUCUUAAUAGCUCUCGAUCCAUUGCUUUUGGGUGGCUAAUCUAACAAGGGCGACUUCAAGCCUUUCAUCCAAUAGCCCCAGGCUCGUAUUCAUGGCCUCUUUAUUUGAUUCCUUUGUUACAUAUCGGAAUCUGAUACUCAGCUUCCCGAUUUCAAUCGGUAUUAGAGCUUCGGUGCCAUAAACCAAUGAGAACGGGGUAGCCCAGGUACUGGAUUUCAAAGUUGUGCGAUAUGCCCAAAGAACUUCGGGCAAGAUCUCUUUCCAUUUUCCCUUAGCGUCAGUCAGCCUUUUCUUAAGGCUUUGGAUUUUUGUUUUGUUGGUCGAUUCGGCUUGCCCAUUCCCAUUAGGGUGAUAAGGUAUCGAUAAAAUCCUUUUGAUCUUAUGAUCUUCGAGAAAUUUGGCCACUUUUUUGCCGAUAAACUAUUUUUCCUUGUCACAUAUAAUUUUGGACAGUUUCUCGAACCAACAUGUGAUGUGGUCCCAAAUAAAGUCAAUGACUUCCUUCUCCUUAACCUUCUCGU
Non-coding RNA from Nicotiana tabacum (common tobacco), 3978 nucleotides. NCBI's taxonomy places the organism in Eukaryota, Viridiplantae, Streptophyta, Magnoliopsida, Solanales, Solanaceae. The record is from RefSeq and is a predicted model, not a curated record.